Molecule: small nucleolar RNA, 137 nt
Filed under: Drosophila virilis
Lineage: Eukaryota; Metazoa; Arthropoda; Insecta; Diptera; Drosophilidae
Description: snoRNA:GJ25537
Source: RNAcentral
UUUGCCCCCGGUUGAGUACGGAAAUAUGUGACAAUACAUCUUUAACAAUUUCCUUAAUGAAGGGCGGCCAAAGCAAAUGUUGCAGCUGGCCUCUGCCAUUUGACAAUUAAAUGGCACCGCCUGCUGCAGCGACAGCU